RNAcentral lists this ribosomal RNA (448 nucleotides) under uncultured organism. RNAcentral's name for it is "partial 16S ribosomal RNA". It matches the Rfam family "Bacterial small subunit ribosomal RNA", at positions 332 to 797 of the family's 1533-position model. The record is from RNAcentral.
UACACUCCUACGGGAGGCAGCAGUGGGGAAUAUUGGACAAUGGGCGAAAGCCUGAUCCAGCAAUGCCGCGUGAGUGAUGAAGGCCUUAGGGUUGUAAAGCUCUUUUACCCGGGAUGAUAAUGACAGUACCGGGAGAAUAAGCCCCGGCUAACUCCGUGCCAGCAGCCGCGGUAAUACGGAGGGGGCUAGCGUUGUUCGGAAUUACUGGGCGUAAAGCGCGCGUAGGCGGCUUUGUAAGUUAGAGGUGAAAGCCCGGAGCUCAACUUCGGAAUUGCCUUUAAGACUGCAUCGCUAGAAUCGUGGAGAGGUGAGUGGAAUUCCGAGUGUAGAGGUGAAAUUCGUAGAUAUUCGGAAGAACACCAGUGGCGAAGGCGACUCACUGGACACGUAUUGACGCUGAGGUGCGAAAGCGUGGGGAGCAAACAGGAUUAGAUACCCGUGUAGUCCC